RNAcentral lists this unclassified non-coding RNA (342 nucleotides) under soil metagenome. RNAcentral describes it as "partial contains 5.8S ribosomal RNA, internal transcribed spacer 2, and large subunit ribosomal RNA". The stretch from base 1 to 119 matches the Rfam family "5.8S ribosomal RNA", at positions 35 to 154 of the family's 154-position model. The record is from RNAcentral.
GAUGAAUAACGCAGCGAAAUGCGAUAAGUAAUGCGAAUUGCAGAAUCCGUGAGUCAUCGAAUCUUUGAACGCACAUUGCGCCCGCUAGUAUUCUGGCGGGCAUGCCUGUCCGAGCGUCAUUUCAACCCUCAAGCCCCCGGGCUUGGUGUUGGGGAUCGGCGAGCCUCCGCGCCCGCCGUCCCCUAAAUCUAGUGGCGGUCUCGCUGUAGCUUCCUCUGCGUAGUAGCACACCUCGCACUGGGAAACAGCGCGGCCACGCCGUUAAACCCCCAACUUCUGAACGUUUGACCUCGGAUCAGGUAGGAAUACCCGCUGAACUUAAGCAUAUCAAUAAGCGGAGGA